UAUAUAGCUUAAAUGUACAAUUUCUACAGGACGAAUUAUAACUUCAUUAUGUAUAAAGCUCCUGUGGAUAAUUACUCCUAUUUGUAACUUUACACAAGAGAAAGUUUGCUGUCACACUAUUUAUAACAGGUUGGAUUUUGUCCUCUGAGUUGAGCCUUUGGUUGCAGUUUAUUGAAGAAUUUCCUCUAAAGUAGCUGUUGAUAAAGAUUUCAAGUCCUGUUUAUAUACAGAAAUAUGCUUUAGUUCAUGUUUUUUUACAUGUCUGCCUCAGUGGAUCAGUAGAAGAUCUGGCACAGGAAACUAGAUGAUGAAAAAAGGAGGAAACACCUGGGCCUCAUCAGUGCAGCCAGCAUUUAAGCCAGGGAGUGGCUUCUUCUCAUCGCUGGAUUGUUGUGUGUGACUCGCGUCAGUGCUCUGAGCAAGUUCUCUUUUGCUUCCCUGUGCAAAACCUCUAACGUGUGUUUCCUUCUGUACAUAGAUCCCCUGGACCCGACUCUGCAUUCCCCGAGCGGAUUCCCUUUUUGUGUGAGUGUUUGGAGAGAGAGUCAGAAGAGGAGCAAGUGUCUUUCCCCUACCUGGAUUUCCCCGGAGCCUUUUCCCUGUCACCGCUUUGUAUAUAGCACUAUCCCCUGCACUGUUUGUAUAUACACCUGGUGGAACUGUAAUAAAUACUGACUGUGCCUCUGA
This is a long non-coding RNA of Oreochromis niloticus (Nile tilapia), 687 nucleotides long. RefSeq lists it as uncharacterized. NCBI's taxonomy places the organism in Eukaryota, Metazoa, Chordata, Actinopteri, Cichliformes, Cichlidae. The transcript is spliced from 2 exons. The record is from RefSeq and is a predicted model, not a curated record.